Molecule: ribosomal RNA, 465 nt
Filed under: Vreelandella stevensii
Lineage: Bacteria; Pseudomonadati; Pseudomonadota; Gammaproteobacteria; Oceanospirillales; Halomonadaceae
Description: partial 16S ribosomal RNA
Rfam family: Bacterial small subunit ribosomal RNA
Source: RNAcentral
CCUACGGGGGGCUGCAGUGGGGAAUAUUGGACAAUGGGCGAAAGCCUGAUCCAGCCAUGCCGCGUGUGUGAAGAAGGCCUUCGGGUUGUAAAGCACUUUCAGUGGGGAAGAAAGCCUUGGGGCUAAUACCCUCGAGGAAGGACAUCACCCACAGAAGAAGCACCGGCUAACUCCGUGCCAGCAGCCGCGGUAAUACGGAGGGUGCGAGCGUUAAUCGGAAUUACUGGGCGUAAAGCGCGCGUAGGCGGUCUGAUAAGCCGGUUGUGAAAGCCCCGGGCUCAACCUGGGAACGGCAUCCGGAACUGUCAGGCUAGAGUGCAGGAGAGGAAGGUAGAAUUCCCGGUGUAGCGGUGAAAUGCGUAGAGAUCGGGAGGAAUACCAGUGGCGAAGGCGGCCUCCUGGACUGACACUGACGCUGAGGUGCGAAAGCGUGGGUAGCAAACAGGAUUAGAUACCCGGGUAGUC